RNAcentral lists this long non-coding RNA (563 nucleotides) under Mytilus galloprovincialis (Mediterranean mussel). Lineage: Eukaryota; Metazoa; Mollusca; Bivalvia; Mytilida; Mytilidae. The record is from RNAcentral.
GUCUAGCUGGCAGAUGUCAUCUGACCUUGACCUCAUUUUCAUGGUUCAUGAUCAAAGUAAAUUUUUAGUUUUGGUCUUUUUUUCUACUACUAUAUGCAAUAGGUCAAUUAUAUUUGAUGUAUGGAAAUAUUUUAUGAUAUAUAUGUCAGCCCAGCAGGUUUUAUUUGACCUUGACCUCCUUUUUGUGUGUUGGUCUGGGUUUUUUAAACUACAAGCAUUAGGUCAAUUAUAUUUGUUGUAUGGAAGAAUUGUAAGCUGUGCAUGUCUGUCUGGUACUAUUCAUCUUACCUUGACCUCAUUUUCAUAUGGUUCAUUGCUCAAUGUUUAGUUUUCUUGAUUAAAGUUAAGUUUAUGUGACAGUUGUAAUCAUGGUAAUAAAACUUUAUAUUUAGGACUAUCAACAUAAUAUCAAUGAUUAGUAAAGAAGGCGAGACAUUUCAGCAUGUGCACUCUUGUUUUUUUUAUAUCAAUUGACAAAAUUAAUUGUAUUGAGCAAGUGCUUUAUAAGGAAAUAAGAUAUGUGUAUCAAAUUUUUAAAUUGUGACAUGGCCUUGUUUUCUACU